This 492-nucleotide ribosomal RNA is filed under the name uncultured bacterium. Its description in RNAcentral is "partial 16S ribosomal RNA". It matches the Rfam family "Bacterial small subunit ribosomal RNA", at positions 29 to 507 of the family's 1533-position model. The record is from RNAcentral.
AGUGAACGCUGGCGGUAGGCCUAACACAUGCAAGUCGAACGGCAGCACAGUAAGAGCUUGCUCUUACGGGUGGCGAGUGGCGGACGGGUGCGGAAUACAUCGGAAUCUACUUUUUCUUGGGGGAUAACGUAGGCAAACUUACGCUAAUACCGCAUACGACCUACGGGUGAAAGCAGCGGAUCUUCGGACCUUGCGCGAUUGAAUGAGCCGAUGUCGGAUUAGCUAGUUGGCGGGGUAAAGGCCCACCAAGGCGACGAUCCGUAGCUGGUCUGAGAGGAUGAUCAGCCACACUGGAACUGAGACACGGUCCAGACUCCUACGGGAGGCAGCAGUGGGGAAUAUUGGACAAUGGGCGCAAGCCUGAUCCAGCCAUACCGCGUGGGUGAAGAAGGCCUUCGGGUUGUAAAGCCCUUUUGUUGGGAAAGAAAAGCAGCAGGUUAAUACCCCGCUGUUCUGACGGUACCCAAAGAAUAAGCACCGGCUAACUUCGUG